Molecule: ribosomal RNA, 467 nt
Filed under: uncultured bacterium
Lineage: Bacteria
Description: partial 16S ribosomal RNA
Rfam family: Bacterial small subunit ribosomal RNA
Source: RNAcentral
ACGCACGCUGGCGGCGUGCUUAACACAUGCCAGUCGAACGGAAAGGCCCUGCUUUUGUGGGGUGCUCGAGUGGCGAACGGGUGAGUAACACGUGAGUAACCUGCCCUUGACUUUGGGAUAACUUCAGGAAACUGGGGCUAAUACCGGAUAGGAGCUCCUGCUGCAUGGUGGGGGUUGGAAAGUUUCGGCGGUUGGGGAUGGACUCGCAGCUUAUCAGCUUGUUGGUGGGGUAGUGGCUUACCAAGGCUUUGACGGGUAGCCGGCCUGAGAGGGUGACCGGCCACAUUGGGACUGAGAUACGGCCCAGACUCCUACGGGAGGCAGCAGUGGGGAAUAUUGCACAAUGGGCGGAAGCCUGAUGCAGCAACGCCGCGUGCGGGAUGACGGCCUUCGGGUUGUAAACCGCUUUCGCCUGUGACGAAGCGUGAGUGACGGUAAUGGGUAAAGAAGCACCGGCUAACUACGUG